AUGUGUAAGAGCACAUGCAGAGACGCCACGGUCAGAUUUGCUACAACGGUGGUCGAGGUGUUUGGACCUCAGUACUCGAGAGAACAAACUAAAGCAGACACCGAGAGACUCUUGGCAACGCCUGAAGGCAAGCUCGUCCUUGCAACUAUACUGUCAAUGGACAUCAGUACAACAUGUGCUAGUAUUUGGUUGAUGGUAUUUAUUAUACAUGGGCUACCUUCGUCAAGACCAUCUCUAAGCCAGUUGGGCAGAAAAGAUCUCACUGUGCCCAAAGAUGAGAAGGAGCUAGAAAUGAUGUGGAGAGGGCAUUUGGAGUGCUCCAAGCCCAUUUUGCAAUUCUUUGUGGACCUGCUAAAUAGUGGGACCCAGGAACCUUGUGGAAAGUGA
RNAcentral lists this ribosomal RNA (387 nucleotides) under Triticum aestivum (bread wheat). Its description in RNAcentral is "partial small subunit ribosomal RNA". The record is from RNAcentral. Lineage: Eukaryota; Viridiplantae; Streptophyta; Magnoliopsida; Poales; Poaceae.